RNAcentral lists this ribosomal RNA (506 nucleotides) under uncultured bacterium. Its description in RNAcentral is "partial 16S ribosomal RNA". It matches the Rfam family "Bacterial small subunit ribosomal RNA", at positions 30 to 523 of the family's 1533-position model. The record is from RNAcentral.
AUUGAACGCUGGCGGCAGGCCUAACACAUGCAAGUCGAACGGCAGCACAGAAGAGCUUGCUCUUUGGGUGGCGAGUGGCGGACGGGUGAGUAAUGUCUGGGAAACUGCCCGAUGGAGGGGGAUAACUUCUGGAAACGGUAGCUAAUACCGCAUAACGUCGCAAGACCAAAGUGGGGGACCUUCGGGCCUCACACCCUCGGAUGUGCCCAGAUGGGAUUAGCUAGUAGGUGGGGUAAUGGCUCACCUAGGCGACGAUCCCUAGCUGGUCUGAGAGGAUGACCAGCCACACUGGAACUGAGACACGGUCCAGACUCCUACGGGAGGCAGCAGUGGGGAAUAUUGCACAAUGGGCGCAAGCCUGAUGCAGCCAUGCCGCGUGUAUGAAGAAGGCCUUCGGGUUGUAAAGUACUUUCAGCGGGGAGGAAGGCGGUGAGGUUAAUAACCUUGCCGAUUGACGUUACCCGCAGAAGAAGCACCGGCUAACUCCGUGCCAGCCGCCGCCGUAA